This 958-nucleotide ribosomal RNA is filed under the name Staphylococcus warneri. Its description in RNAcentral is "bacterial SSU rRNA". It matches the Rfam family "Bacterial small subunit ribosomal RNA", at positions 48 to 983 of the family's 1533-position model. The record is from RNAcentral. Lineage: Bacteria; Bacillati; Bacillota; Bacilli; Caryophanales; Staphylococcaceae.
CUAAUACAUGCAAGUCGAGCGAACAGAUAAGGAGCUUGCUCCUUUGACGUUAGCGGCGGACGGGUGAGUAACACGUGGAUAACCUACCUAUAAGACUGGGAUAACUUCGGGAAACCGGAGCUAAUACCGGAUAACAUAUUGAACCGCAUGGUUCAAUAGUGAAAGGCGGCUUUGCUGUCACUUAUAGAUGGAUCCGCGCCGUAUUAGCUAGUUGGUAAGGUAACGGCUUACCAAGGCAACGAUACGUAGCCGACCUGAGAGGGUGAUCGGCCACACUGGAACUGAGACACGGUCCAGACUCCUACGGGAGGCAGCAGUAGGGAAUCUUCCGCAAUGGGCGAAAGCCUGACGGAGCAACGCCGCGUGAGUGAUGAAGGUCUUCGGAUCGUAAAACUCUGUUAUCAGGGAAGAACAAAUGUGUAAGUAACUGUGCACAUCUUGACGGUACCUGAUCAGAAAGCCACGGCUAACUACGUGCCAGCAGCCGCGGUAAUACGUAGGUGGCAAGCGUUAUCCGGAAUUAUUGGGCGUAAAGCGCGCGUAGGCGGUUUUUUAAGUCUGAUGUGAAAGCCCACGGCUCAACCGUGGAGGGUCAUUGGAAACUGGAAAACUUGAGUGCAGAAGAGGAAAGUGGAAUUCCAUGUGUAGCGGUGAAAUGCGCAGAGAUAUGGAGGAACACCAGUGGCGAAGGCGACUUUCUGGUCUGUAACUGACGCUGAUGUGCGAAAGCGUGGGGAUCAAACAGGAUUAGAUACCCUGGUAGUCCACGCCGUAAACGAUGAGUGCUAAGUGUUAGGGGGUUUCCGCCCCUUAGUGCUGCAGCUAACGCAUUAAGCACUCCGCCCUGGGGGAGUACGACCGCAAGGUUGAAACUCAAAGGAAUUGACGGGGACCCGCACAAGCGGUGGGAGCAUGUGGUUUAAUUUCGAAGCAACGCGAAGAACCUUACCAAAUCUUG